AUUGAACGCUGGCGGCAGGCCUAACACAUGCAAGUCGAACAGUAACAGGAAGCAGCUUGCUGCUUUGCUGACGAGUGGCGGACGGGUGAGUAAUGUCUGGGAAACUGCCUGAUGGAGGGGGAUACUUACUGAAAAGGGUACCAAAACCGGCUUAACGCCGAAAGACAAAAGAGGGGAACCUUCGGGCCUCUUGCCACCGGAGGUGCCCAGAUGGGAUUAGCUAGUAGGUGGGGUAACGGCUCACCUAGGCGACGAUCCCUAGCUGGUCUGAGAGGAUGACCAGCCACACUGGAACUGAGACACGGUCCAGACUCCUACGGGAGGCAGCAGUGGGGAAUAUUGCACAAUGGGCGCAAGCCUGAUGCAGCCAUGCCGCGUGUAUGAAGAAGGCCUUCGGGUUGUAAAGUACUUUCAGCGGGGAGGAAGGGAGUAAAGUUAAUACCUUUGCUCAUUGACGUUACCCGCAGAAGAAGCACCGGCUAACUCCGUG
RNAcentral lists this ribosomal RNA (490 nucleotides) under uncultured bacterium. Its description in RNAcentral is "partial 16S ribosomal RNA". It matches the Rfam family "Bacterial small subunit ribosomal RNA", at positions 30 to 507 of the family's 1533-position model. The record is from RNAcentral.